RNAcentral lists this ribosomal RNA (485 nucleotides) under Chalciporus aff. rubinellus Garcia 18025. RNAcentral's name for it is "eukaryotic LSU rRNA". It matches the Rfam family "Eukaryotic large subunit ribosomal RNA", at positions 377 to 869 of the family's 3401-position model. Lineage: Eukaryota; Fungi; Basidiomycota; Agaricomycetes; Boletales; Boletaceae. The record is from RNAcentral.
UGGAAAGAGAGUUAAACAGUACGUGAAAUUGCUGAAAGGGAAACGCUUGAUGUCAGUCGCGUCGGCUGGGGAUCAACCUUGCAUUCGUGCUGGGCGUACUUCCUGGUCGACGGGUCAGCAUCAGUUUUCGUCGUCGUACAAGGGCAAAGGGAAUGUGGCACUCUUCGGAGUGUGUUAUAGCCUUUCGUCGUAUGCGAGGGUGGGGACUGAGGAACUCAGCACGGGCAACCUGUGCUUAGGAUGCUGGCAUAAUGGCCUUAAGCGACCCGUCUUGAAACACGGACCAAGGAGUCUAACAUGCGUGCGAGUGUUUGGGUAGUAAACUCGAGCGCGAAAUGAAAGUGAAAGUUGAGACCUCUGUCAUGGAGGGCAUCGACGCCCGGACCUGAGUCAUCGACGAAGGCUCUGCGGUAGAGCAUGCAUGUUGGGACCCGAAAGAUGGUGAACUAUGCCUGAAUAGGGCGAAGCCAGAGGAAACUCUGGUG